UACGUAGGGCGCAAGCGUUAUCCGGAAUUAUUGGGCGUAAAGAGCUCGUAGGCGGUUUGUCGCGUCUGCCGUGAAAGUCCGGGGCUCAACUCCGGAUCUGCGGUGGGUACGGGCAGACUAGAGUGAUGUAGGGGAGAGUGGAACUCCUGGUGUAGCGGUGAAAUGCGCAGAUAUCAGGAGGAACACCGAUGGCGAAGGCAGGUCUCUGGGCAUUAACUGACGCUGAGGAGCGAAAGCAUGGGGAGCGAACAGG
This 253-nucleotide ribosomal RNA is filed under the name uncultured bacterium. RNAcentral's name for it is "partial 16S ribosomal RNA". It matches the Rfam family "Bacterial small subunit ribosomal RNA", at positions 524 to 776 of the family's 1533-position model. The record is from RNAcentral.